GGUAAAAUGGCCGAAUCAGGUGCAAGGUUGUAGCCCUUGUCAUAAAGGUUAUAGUCCUUUUUUUAUCA
RNAcentral lists this transfer RNA (68 nucleotides) under Paramesotriton caudopunctatus (Guizhou warty newt). RNAcentral describes it as "tRNA-Tyr". It matches the Rfam family "tRNA". Rfam says of the family: Transfer RNA (tRNA) molecules are approximately 80 nucleotides in length. Their secondary structure includes four short double-helical elements and three loops (D, anti-codon, and T loops). RNAcentral also lists the same sequence under 2 other names. The record is from RNAcentral. Lineage: Eukaryota; Metazoa; Chordata; Amphibia; Caudata; Salamandridae.